CGUCAAAUCAGCACGGCCCUUACGUCCGGGGCGACACACGUGUUACAAUGGUAGGAACAGAGGGCAGCUAUUAUGUGAAUAAGUGCGAAUCUCAAAACCCUAUCACAGUUCGGAUUGGAGUCUGCAACUCGACUCCAUGAAGCUGGAUUCGCUAGUAAUCGCGCAUCAGCCAUGGCGCGGUGAAUACGUUCCCGGGCCUU
RNAcentral lists this ribosomal RNA (200 nucleotides) under uncultured prokaryote. Its description in RNAcentral is "partial 16S ribosomal RNA". It matches the Rfam family "Bacterial small subunit ribosomal RNA", at positions 1183 to 1382 of the family's 1533-position model. The record is from RNAcentral.